Molecule: ribosomal RNA, 446 nt
Filed under: uncultured Actinomycetes bacterium
Lineage: Bacteria; Bacillati; Actinomycetota; Actinomycetes
Description: uncultured actinobacterium partial 16S ribosomal RNA
Rfam family: Bacterial small subunit ribosomal RNA
Source: RNAcentral
CCUACGGGAGGCAGCAGUGGGGAAUCUUGCGCAAUGCCCGAAAGGGUGACGCAGCGACGCCGCGUGGAGGAUGAAGGCCUUCGGGUUGUAAACUCCUUUCAGCAGGGACGAAGCCGCAAGGUGACGGUACCUGCAGAAGAAGCCCCGGCUAACUACGUGCCAGCAGCCGCGGUAAUACGUAGGGGGCAAGCGUUGUCCGGAUUUAUUGGGCGUAAAGAGCACGUAGGCGGUCUGUCAAGUCAGGUGUGAAAACUCUCGCCUCAACUGGGAGACUGCACUUGAAACUGGCAGACUAGAGUCCAAGAGAGGGAAGUGAAAUUCCUAGUGUAGGGGUGAAAUGCGCAGAUAUUAGGAAGAACACCAGUGGCGAAGGCGGCUUCCUGGAUUGCGACUGACGCUGAGGUGCGAAAGCUAGGGGAGCGAACAGGAUUAGAUCCCCUUGUAGU